This 499-nucleotide ribosomal RNA is filed under the name uncultured bacterium. Its description in RNAcentral is "partial 16S ribosomal RNA". It matches the Rfam family "Bacterial small subunit ribosomal RNA", at positions 30 to 523 of the family's 1533-position model. The record is from RNAcentral.
AUUGAACGCUGGCGGCAUGCCUUACACAUGCAAGUCGAACGGCAGCACGGACUUUGGUCUGGUGGCGAGUGGCGAACGGGUGAGUAAUGUAUCGGAACGUACCAUUGAGUGGGGGAUAACGUAGCGAAAGUUACGCUAAUACCGCAUAUUCUCCCCGGAGGAAAGCAGGGGACCGCAAGGCGUUGCGCGCUUUGAGCGGCCGAUAUCAGAUUAGCUAGUUGGUGGGGUAAAAGCUCACAAAGGCGACGAUCUGUAGCGGGUCUGAGAGGAUGAUCCGCCACACUGGAACUGAGACACGGUCCAGACUCCUACGGGAGGCAGCAGUGGGGAAUUUUGGACAAUGGGGGCAACCCUGAUCCAGCCAUGCCGCGUGAGUGAAGAAGGCCUUCGGGUUGUAAAGCUCUUUCGGCCGGGAAAAAUCGCAUGGGCUAAUAUCCUGUGUGGAUGAUGGUACCGGAAUAAGAAGCACCGGCUAACUACGUGCCAGCCGCCGCCGUAA